ACGAGGCACUACGGUGCUGAAGUAACAAAUGCCCUGCUUCCAGGAAAAGCCUCUAAGCAUCAGGUAACAACGAAUCGUACCCCAAACCGACACAGGUGGUCAGGUAGAGAAUACCAAGGCGCUUGAGAGAACUCGGGUGAAGGAACUAGGCAAAAUGGUGCCGUAACUUCGGGAGAAGGCACGCUGAUGGUAGGUGAAGUGACUUGCUCAUGGAGCUGAAAUCAGUCGAAGAUACCAGCUGGCUGCAACUGUUUAUUAAAAACACAGCACUGUGCAAACACGAAAGUGGACGUAUACGGUGUGACGCCUGCCCGGUGCCGGAAGGUUAAUUGAUGGGGUUAUCCGUAAGGAGAAGCUCUUGAUCGAAGCCCCGGUAAACGGCGGCCGUAACUAUAACGGUCCUAAGGUAGCGAAAUUCCUUGUCGGGUAAGUUCCGACCUGCACGAAUGGCGUAAUGAUGGCCAGGCUGUCUCCACCCGAGACUCAGUGAAAUUGAACUCGCUGUGAAGAUGCAGUGUACCCGCGGCAAGACGGAAAGACCCCGUGAACCUUUACUAUAGCUUGACACUGAACAUUGAGCCUUGAUGUGUAGGAUAGGUGGGAGGCUUUGAAGUGUGGACGCCAGUCUGCAUGGAGCCAACCUUGAAAUACCACCCUUUAAUGUUUGAUGUUCUAACGUAGACCCGUGAUCCGGGUUGCGGACAGUGUCUGGUGGGUAGUUUGACUGGGGCGGUCUCCUCCCAAAGAGUAACGGAGGAGCACGAAGGUUAGCUAAUCCUGGUCGGACAUCAGGAGGUUAGUGCAAUGGCAUAAGCUAGCUUGACUGCGAGCGUGACGGCGCGAGCAGGUGCGAAAGCAGGUCAUAGUGAUCCGGUGGUUCUGAAUGGAAGGGCCAUCGCUCAACGGAUAAAAGGUACUCCGGGGAUAACAGGCUGAUACCGCCCAAGAGUUCAUAUCGACGGCGGUGUUUGGCACCUCGAUGUCGGCUCAUCACAUCCUGGGGCUGAAGUAGGUCCCAAGGGUAUGGCUGUUCGCCAUUUAAAGUGGUACGCGAGCUGGGUUUAGAACGUCGUGAGACAGUUCGGUCCCUAUCUGCCGUGGGCGCUGGAGAAUUGAGGGGGGCUGCUCCUAGUACGAGAGGACCGGAGUGGACGCAUCACUGGUGUUCGGGUUGUCAUGCCAAUGGCAUUGCCCGGUAGCUAAAUGCGGAAAAGAUAAGUGCUGAAAGCAUCUAAGCACGAAACUUGCCCCGAGAUGAGUUCUCCCUGACCCUUUAAGGGUCCUGAAGGAACGUUGAAGACGACGACGUUGAUAGGUCGGGUGUGUAAGCGUAGCGAUACGUUGAGCUAACCGAUACUAAUGAACCGUGAGGCUUAACCUU
RNAcentral lists this ribosomal RNA (1381 nucleotides) under Klebsiella ornithinolytica 2-156-04_S1_C1. RNAcentral's name for it is "bacterial LSU rRNA". It matches the Rfam family "Bacterial large subunit ribosomal RNA", at positions 1569 to 2925 of the family's 2925-position model. The record is from RNAcentral. Lineage: Bacteria; Pseudomonadati; Pseudomonadota; Gammaproteobacteria; Enterobacterales; Enterobacteriaceae.